GAUGAACGCUAGCGGCAGGCCUAACACAUGCAAGUCGAGGGGUAACAUAGGAAAGCUUGCUUUUCUGAUGACGACCGGCGCACGGGUGCGUAACGCGUAUACAACCUACCUUUUAGCGGGGAAUAGCCCAGGGAAACUUGGAUUAAUGCCCCAUAGUAUAUAGACUUCUCCUGAAGUUUAUAUUUAAACAUUUAUGGCUAUUAGAUGGGUAUGCGUCCUAUUAGUUAGUUGGUAAGGUAACGGCUUACCAAGGCAGCGAUAGGUAGGGGUCCUGAGAGGGAGAUCCCCACACUGGUACUGAGACACGGACCAGACUCCUACGGGAGGCAGCAGUGAGGAAUAUUGGACAAUGGGCGAGAGCCUGAUCCAGCCAUGCCGCGUGCAGGAAGGCUGCCCUAUGGGUUGUAAACUGCUUUUACAGAGGAAGAACCACCCCCACGUGUGGGGGUUUGACGGUACUCUGCGAAUAAGGAUCGGCUAACUCCGUG
RNAcentral lists this ribosomal RNA (488 nucleotides) under uncultured bacterium. RNAcentral describes it as "bacterial SSU rRNA". It matches the Rfam family "Bacterial small subunit ribosomal RNA", at positions 28 to 507 of the family's 1533-position model. The record is from RNAcentral.